This 1039-nucleotide long non-coding RNA is filed under the name Equus asinus (donkey). RNAcentral describes it as "lncRNA (ENSEASG00005035756.1)". The record is from RNAcentral. Lineage: Eukaryota; Metazoa; Chordata; Mammalia; Perissodactyla; Equidae.
GUACGUUUAAAAAAAAAAUCUCUCCAGGAUACAAGAAUAAGUUGCAUUUCCUUGCUCCAUUAGGGCCUCUGGGACUUGAGCCGGUCCGUACCCUAAUAGAGACGCAGUUGUAGGCUGGACGUGAUGCACAGAGGAAAGCGAACUCUAGUUCCCCGAAAAAAUAGUUAAUAAACAGUGGACGAUGUAGCUCACAGUGACACUAGCGAGGGUCUCCCUGCGCGGGGUUCCCCUGAUUUCCUAGCGGGACCCGAGCGGGUGGCUUUAAGCGCAGCGCAAUGCCGGGCGCCACGACCUCAAUUUCCAGCUGAUGAGCGGCUGGACACGCUGUGGAAAUCAGCCUCCGCGGCCGCCGGCUAUGCCCCCAAACCAACGACCUCUGAAAAAACACGGGACCCCCAAAGUCUUAUAAUCGAGAACAAGAAGCCCCCAGAGAGAGAGAACCAGACAAGGGACUACAGAAGUCUCCCCUGGUCCUGUGUAACGAAUUCCUCAGCGCUGUAGACGCUUCUCUGCGGACUGGCGCUCAAGGGCUCCAGAAUAGACAUGCAAAGUCACCCGCGCCGAACGUAAGCCGGCUCCUGGCGCACACAGCCCUCGAAUUCCCUCCCGCGCUGGGCCUGGGGCACGAUUCCUCCUCCCUCUGCGACACUCGGUCCUCGCUCUCGUGGCCCGCACUGCCCCUGCGCAGACCCCCGCGGAUGGAGCUCGGAGAAACAGGGUGGAGCAGGGCAGGUCCUGCUGAUGGAAAAACGGAGAACGAAUUCAGCUGCAAGGCUAAAUUACAGAACACCCUCGAAUUCCAUUUUUUCUCGAGGAAACAACAACAUCGCCGCUCUCGAGGGAGGGAGAGAAGACGUUACCGCCCUCAUACAAAGGGGAGCACCGGAGACCCAGAGAGGUGAAGACGCUCGGUGUUGCGCUCGGCAACAGGUCUCGUAUCUAGAUUCCUGAGACUUAGUUCUUUUUUCCAUUCUAUUUAAUAUCGAGUUUCUAUAAUGAAACACUUUUUUAAACUCUCGUUUUGCUUUUCAGAUAUUUC